This 362-nucleotide ribosomal RNA is filed under the name Clostridioides difficile. Its description in RNAcentral is "bacterial SSU rRNA". It matches the Rfam family "Bacterial small subunit ribosomal RNA", at positions 1 to 372 of the family's 1533-position model. The record is from RNAcentral. Lineage: Bacteria; Bacillati; Bacillota; Clostridia; Peptostreptococcales; Peptostreptococcaceae.
UUAUUUGAGAGUUUGAUCCUGGCUCAGGAUGAACGCUGGCGGCGUGCCUAACACAUGCAAGUUGAGCGAUUUACUUCGGUAAAGAGCGGCGGACGGGUGAGUAACGCGUGGGUAACCUACCCUGUACACACGGAUAACAUACCGAAAGGUAUGCUAAUACGGGAUAAUAUAUUUGAGAGGCAUCUCUUAAAUAUCAAAGGUGAGCCAGUACAGGAUGGACCCGCGUCUGAUUAGCUAGUUGGUAAGGUAACGGCUUACCAAGGCGACGAUCAGUAGCCGACCUGAGAGGGUGAUCGGCCACAUUGGAACUGAGACACGGUCCAAACUCCUACGGGAGGCAGCAGUGGGGAAUAUUGCACAAU